UACGGAGGGAGCUAGCGUUGUUCGGAAUUACUGGGCGUAAAGCGCACGUAGGCGGCUUUGUAAGUUAGAGGUGAAAGCCCGGGGCUCAACUCCGGAACUGCCUUUAAGACUGCAUCGCUUGAAUCCAGGAGAGGUGAGUGGAAUUCCGAGUGUAGAGGUGAAAUUCGUAGAUAUUCGGAAAAACACCAGUGGCGAAGGCGGCUCACUGGACUGGUAUUGACGCUGAGGUGCGAAAGCGUGGGGAGCAAACAGG
Molecule: ribosomal RNA, 253 nt
Filed under: uncultured bacterium
Lineage: Bacteria
Description: partial 16S ribosomal RNA
Rfam family: Bacterial small subunit ribosomal RNA
Source: RNAcentral